RNAcentral lists this ribosomal RNA (443 nucleotides) under uncultured bacterium. Its description in RNAcentral is "partial 16S ribosomal RNA". It matches the Rfam family "Bacterial small subunit ribosomal RNA", at positions 338 to 795 of the family's 1533-position model. The record is from RNAcentral.
CCUACGGGAGGCUGCAGUGGGGAAUAUUGCACAAUGGGCGAAAGCCUGAUGCAGCAACGCCGCGUGAAGGAAGAAGGGUUUCGGCUCGUAAACUUCUAUCAACAGGGACGAAAGAAAUGACGGUACCUGAAUAAGAAGCCCCGGCUAACUACGUGCCAGCAGCCGCGGGAAUACGUAGGGGGCAAGCGUUAUCCGGAAUUACUGGGUGUAAAGGGUGAGUAGGCGGCAUGGUAAGUCAGAUGUGAAAGCCUUGGGCGUAAACCGAGGAUUGCAUUUGGAACUAUCAAGCUAGAGUACAGGAGAGGAAAGCGGAAUUCCUAGUGUAGCGGUGAAAUGCGUAGAUAUUAGGAAGAACACCAGUGGCGAAGGCGGCUUUCUGGACUGAAACUGACGCUGAGGCACGAAAGCGUGGGGAGCGAACAGGAUUAGAUACCCUGGUAGUC